AGAAAAAAAAGAAAGAAGAAGACAACAAGGAAGGAGUAACGUUCAAGAAACUCUUCUCCAAAUCCAAAUUCCACUUGGAUUCCACUCCAAGAGGCUGCCGCUCCCGGGCGGAGCCAAGUCCCGGACUGGAUUACGCACGGCGGACUCUCCUGCAACCCCGCCUCCUUUAGCUGGCGUUUUCUCCGACCCAAAGGAGAGCUGUGGUGGUGUGUGUGAAUGCGAGUGAGCGAGAUGGAGGGAACCAACGCGGUGUGGCGGCAGGUGGAGCCUUGGACCGACUGGCCAGUGAGGCUUCCUUCCUUCGCGAUACCCGGCACCUCCGCGCACUGGGCGGAGGUCCCAGCGGGGGCGACUCUGGCAGGAACCCAGCCCUUGCCUCCCCUUUGCCCGCAUCGGUACUAGCAAGGCGGAGGGGACGGGCGGGGGGAAAUCCCGGACAGCAUUGCUGAGUCCUGCCAAAUUAGAAAAAUAAAUAAAAAAUAAACGUAGUGCA
Phyllostomus discolor (pale spear-nosed bat) is the source of this 493-nucleotide long non-coding RNA. RefSeq lists it as uncharacterized. The record is from RefSeq and is a predicted model, not a curated record. Lineage: Eukaryota; Metazoa; Chordata; Mammalia; Chiroptera; Phyllostomidae. The transcript is spliced from 2 exons.